UCUCAUGACUCACAAGGCUCUUUAGAGGU
Molecule: non-coding RNA, 29 nt
Filed under: Mus musculus (house mouse)
Lineage: Eukaryota; Metazoa; Chordata; Mammalia; Rodentia; Muridae
Source: RNAcentral